ACUUUAUUAUAAAUAAAAGUGCAUCAAGAACAUCAUUUAAACAUCAAUCAAAAAAUCUGAUUUUGACAUCGUUUGAACUGGAUCUAAUCCAUAUCACAAAAAUAACAUGAGAUUUGAUUGAAUCAAUCAAGGGUGGCUCUGAUACUACUAUUAGAUUUCAAUGAUGCAGUGGAAUAAAAAUUUUAAAAAUUUUUAUAUGCAUUCAAUAAUUUUAAAAAUUUUACAAAAAUCCUAGGAACCCCUUGAUGAUUACUAUCAAAUCACAAAAGUAUGUAUAAUGAGAGAAGAUCAGAAGUCAUAUACCAUCAUGAAGACCAUAAUCUAAUAAUUUUGAAACCUCCAUGAGACUCCAAAGUAAAAUCCCUCCAAUGGUGAUCCACACAAGAUUGAUCAGGGUCCUUCCCAAUUUGACAUGGUGCUGCAGUCUUCUUCCUAAGUGCGCUGUCGAUCAUCCUUCGCAAGAAUAGAUUAUACCACCAUUUGUAUAGCUUCAUGACCUCUACUGGGACCUCUUUAGAAAUCCUUAUUCAAA
RNAcentral lists this long non-coding RNA (532 nucleotides) under Elaeis guineensis (African oil palm). RNAcentral describes it as "long non-coding RNA (EGUI_LNC074371)". Lineage: Eukaryota; Viridiplantae; Streptophyta; Magnoliopsida; Arecales; Arecaceae. The record is from RNAcentral.